RNAcentral lists this ribosomal RNA (370 nucleotides) under uncultured organism. Its description in RNAcentral is "bacterial SSU rRNA". It matches the Rfam family "Bacterial small subunit ribosomal RNA", at positions 526 to 896 of the family's 1533-position model. The record is from RNAcentral.
CGUAGGGUGCGAGCGUUAACCGGAAUUACUGGGCGUAAAGCGUGCGCAGGCGGUUUUGUAAGACAGAUGUGAAAUCCCCGGGCUCAACCUGGGACCUGCAUUUGUGACUGCAAGGCUAGAAUACGGUAGAGGGGGAUGGAAUUCCGCGUGUAGCAGUGAAAUGCGUAGAUAUGCGGAGGAACACCGAUGGCGAAGGCAAUCCCCUGGACCUGUACUGACGCUCAUGCACGAAAGCGUGGGGAGCAAACAGGAUUAGAUACCCUGGUAGUCCACGCCCUAAACGAUGUCAACUGGUUGUUGGGUCUUUACUGACUCAGUAACGAAGCUAACGCGUGAAGUUGACCGCCUGGGGAGUACGGCCGCAAGGUUG